UUUUGAUCCUGGAUACUGCAAGAAUCAAAAGGGCCUUUUCUUUCUUUCAACAAUGCUAACACUGACAUGAAUGCAGAUGGAUAAUUUAUUACCUUGAAUGGAAAAGAACAUUCAGUUACACAAGAUCUAGCAGCACCCAGGAUAAAAAAUGAAUGGUGUCAGGUUCCGAAGAUUUUUGGUUCCAUCUGUCCAUGCAAAAUCCCUUUCUUUUAAGAACACAUGACUAAGGAGCAUGACAAUAUCAACUUUUAUGCAAGUAGAAGCAGCACACAUGGUUCACACUACACUAUGAUAUCAGUAUGCAUACAUUUUGUGGAUACCAAGAUUAAUAAAGUAUAGUGAUAAAAAGAGGAAUGUAAUCAUUGCACAUUAUUUAUUGUUAAUUUAAUAUCUUCGAAGUCCCACAGAAAAAUAGAUAAUUUGUAAAGAUCAUCAUGCAUUUGUUCCGAAUCUUGAACUAUUUGAGUUCAUAAAUUUAAAAGCAUUUUCUCAGGGGCCUGAACUAAGAAAUAUGAUAGAACUGCAAAUUGACUACAUUGACGGAUUCACAACAUAUACAUAGCAACAACUCUUAUAGAUCCUGCCUAAUACAAGCAGCAACAAUAUUUUGGAGAGGGUAUUGAAGAUAAAUUAAAUGUAUCUGGUUCCCAACCUUUAUGUGGGGUUACAUGAUGCAUUCAACGACCCUAAGAAAAAUUCACUGGAUUGGGUUUAGGAAACACCUGUACCUAUGUUUGGCUUCCUCUCUUUUGCGGGAUCAUGCUCCAAGGGACAGUAGUGUAGAUCAGAGUACAAAUUAGCUUUGUGUUCAUAACCAUAAUUUUAAAAUUAAGCCACACAUCUUUAGUACUGGGGCCAAGUUAGUGGGACCACAAUCUAGAAAUACACAAAACCAAAAUGCUAACUUAACAUGAGAAAGAAAAAUAAAUACCUACGAAGAUGAUUUGAUCAUUGAUUAUUUUCAAGGAAGAACACCGAAAGAAAGAAUCAUAUAAUGAACCUUAGAAUAGGGUUGAUCUUUCUCUUCGGAACCUAGCAGAGCUUCAUAUCAACUCGGUACUCCGCAAUGUAGCUAUGCUAGCAGUUUACACUGCAUUAAAAGACAGGGCCGGCCCUGGGGCAUGGGCAGGGGGGCGACGGCCCAGGGCCCAGCCCAGGGAGGGGCCCAUGAUGUAGUGCACAUAUAUAAUAUAGCCGAGCAAAAAUAGGUGAGAAAAAAAUUAUGAGAGAAGAAAAACGAGAUGAGAUAGGCCCAUCAAAUAGCAGGUAGCGAUUAGCGAAGCGUCACGCACGCUGCAUGGCAGGGCCGCUCGUUUCGAUUGUGAAACAAAUCAAUCGAAGAUCUCGCGGACGCCUCGCUCGUCUAUUCGUCCUCUCGUCGCUGUGGUCGCCUCGGUCACCACUGUGCGCGUCGCCCGCCGUGCGGCAAUCCAGCAGCCGCAGCCCGCAGCAGUACGUAUACGUAUGUAUGUGAGCAGUGAGCGCAGCCCACAGAAGUACGUAUACGUAUCCAUGCAUAACUCUCUGUACCAUGUUCCUGAUCCAUCCCCGCAAACCCCAAUUUCAGUAAUUUCUUUUUUUAGAACGUAUUCAACUAUUCAUCCAUGAUCCAUCCUCUAAUUUCAGUGUUCACGAAGUUCCAAAUUUUAAUGUAUAGUUUUCGAAUUCAAUCUUUUAUAGUAUGUAUUCAACCAUCCUUUUUUUUGUCAUUCUAUGCACAUGUCUAGGGUCCCAAUCAUUCAAAUCAUCCGAUGUAUAAAUUUUUAAUUCCUUGAAUAAUUUUUUCUUCAUAAUAUUAGGACAUUAGCCCGCCAUAUUGCCUAAGAAGCAUUUGUCAGUUGCUCAAACAAGGAGAAAAAAGAUAGAAAGGGAUCUGAAGAUUCAAUAACUGAAGGGUACUUAAGUAUUAUUGUUGUCGAUGGAGUCAGUUGAAUUUGGUUCUUAUUUGAUGUAAUCAUAUCAUGUUACUUUCAAUUUUCUAUCUUUUUAGUAUUUCUGUCGUAAUAUGGCAUUGUCCAACAAUUAUUAUGUUUAAGUUUAUGUACCACGCACGCGCAUACAUAUAUAUGAUCUUAGGACAUAGGGGCACAUGGCAUCGAGUUCGCCUAGGGCCUCCCGAAACACAGGGCCGGCCCUGUUAAAAGAUAUUUCUAUUCGGGAUCUAGCAGAGCUUCAUAUACAAUGGAAGGAAUUGCUCUCCGGAUUAUUUUUCACUUAAUAGAAGUAUAUUGCACUACUGACAACAAAAAGGAAGACAUAUGCAUUGAAAUCAAUGUUAACUGAAGUGAAUCAGAAAUAUAACUUUCACAUGUAUAUAAAAUGUAAAAACAACAGCCCUCGGUUCUAGAACUCUGUUCUAGUCAAAUCGAUCCGACGACCGAAAGUGCCUGAGAUCUGAAGAGUCAGGGAACUAGCCGCGGGUCUUAUUUCUGGAUGGAUCACCAGAUCAAUAUGUUCUUACGAGGGUGAAAUUUCCCUGGUUACCACUCAUCAGAAAUGACCAUCCAAGGACAAAGCCAUUAAAAUAAGAACGUGAUCAAAACAGCUCAAAGAAACAAGGAUCCAAAUUAAUACCCACAAGUGCCUCGAUUGCUUGAGAGCAUGCCUAUAUCAGCCAUGACUUAUCAUCAUAGCCCUGGUCAUGUCCCAUACAGUAGCCGAAGCAGAGCAGGGGAAGAUGGAGCUCACCGAGGGAGGUUGUAGCCGAGGCAGUACUCAGUGGGUGUCGGGGUUGCGCCUGAACGCCGUCCAGCCGGCGAGGAACUACGUCAGAGUUGCACCUUGCACCAUCCCGCCGAAAAGCACGAAUGCCAUUGGCACCGAAGCGGCCAAGGAGGCGAGGAGGCGAUGUGGCACGUCUAGGAGCACCAUCAGGGGUGGAGAUGACCGGGGCCUAGUCAGUUCUCUUUUAGUUGCAAUCAAGGAUAAGAUUUGUUAGAACAUUCUUGUGGUCAAAACUUAUCAUCAUGCAAGCAAGCCACCGAUUUAGUAUCUUGUUGUGAAAAUUGCUGAUUAAAUGACUGCCUCUUUUGUUUGGCGCGAUUUAGUAUCUUGUUUUUGCCUAAUUAGUAAGGCACCGAUUCAAAAAAAAACUAAAAGGAAUCUCUAAAAAGACUUGUAUUUAGGAAUGAAGCGAGUGCAUGAUAACAAUGCCAUCGUGAUAUUUCACCCGUGAUAUACUUCUUUCACCCAAAUUUAGGGUCCUCGUGCUGCUCCUGGGCCGCCGCCCCCUUGACGGCAUCUGGGAGAGACACGCAAACCACAACUUUGGCAAACAAUGAGCAACCUGAUAUGAAUAACCAUUUUAAAAUAUAAUAGAACCAAAACAGUACACCUGAAUCCACUAGAACUACCAAGUGAAUCUUAGUAGAAUCCACUAAUUAAAGCUAUAAAGCCAUUUAGUAAAAUCCACUGGAACUACAAGUGAAUUUUAGCACAUUCAAAGUUGUUUGAUUAGGAAGGUUGAAAUAUAAAGGUAUCACAUACAUCACAUGAAUCAUACUAUCGAGCAUCGACCACAUCACUUGCAAUUCCUCUAUGCUUUUGUAUGGCCAAAUGAUAGCACUCCAGUCAUUUUGAUUAGAAAGUUUCUUAAAGGAAGGACGUUAUCCAUGAAAAAAAGAGUCCAACUAAAGGUUUAGAUAAUUUUUCAAAAAAUGAAUGAAUAGACUGGCUAUUUGCCCAAUUACAAAUAAAACCAGGCUUUUCUCUACAUAAAAAAUAUGUAUUUACGAAAAGACCCAUCAUAUUCAAUACUUGACAGCAAAUUACAAGCAUCAAUUAUAGAACCGUUCUUGGCUAGUAACUAUAAUCUUAACAAGCAUGAAUUUUUCAAUCUGAACAUAAGUACACAAGGCCUAAACAGUGUAUCUUUAGUUCUAUGCUAGUUUCCCAUAUUUAUUCCAUGGUUUAAUAAAUCUUAAGCACAUGGAAUGUUCAACACAGGCACAUGAGCUGCAGGGUACCACAGGAAUAUGAUCAGGCACGUGAUAGUUAUUCCACAGGAAUACCUGAUGGACAAAAUUAUUAUAGAAAGUUACUAACCAACUAAAUGUAGCAGUGCGCCUAUCAAAGUUAAAUGAGGACAGAAGAAGCACGGCUAAAAGAGAAGAGUCAAUUAGCAAGCCAGAGGACCUAAUUAGCUCAUGUAGCAAGCCUUGAACAUUCUAAGGCAGAACACCUGCUUCAUAAUUAUGCAAGGAGAACAAACCAUAACCAGCCAUGGCCAUGGCAUGAUGUCCAUGAUGAACCCAGCACGACCACCAUAGCCAUGGCUCGUUGACCGUGGGCACAUAUGUUUCUAAAACUAUUGGAGAGUUUCAAAUAAUACAACAAAGGAGCCUUUAUCUUCAGGAAUAACAGAACAUGACAGAUAAAUGCAUGUGUUUAGGAAACAAUAGUAGACUUAUCCCAUAUCCAACAAUUGCAGUUCUGGUUCUUGUGUUAGACUUAUAUGGGAUCGGGUAAUAAAAUGAGGAAACAACGUUAGGGGACUACAAACCUUGCUCGUUUUGCUCCGACAGCUCCUUAAUCUUCCCUUCCAGCAUGGCGAGCUGCUCGGUGUUGUCGCCGCGGGCAGGAGGCUGCACCUCUACUACGUCUUCAAGCAUCGCCAGCCUGCCGCAGACCCACUGGACCUCCUAUCCAGGCCUUGCACCUGCAGCACAAAGAUAGGUUGGACUCAGUAUAAUUCAACCACAACACAUAGUAGCGCAUGGCAAUCUUGUCGAUGCAAAUGAGCUAAACACAUUUACGUUUAUCCAGUGUUGCAGCAAAAAUAAGUAUUAUUGAUACAUGGCCAAUGGCAAAAGAAAGAUGGAAAAGAUUAAGUGGCAGGCAAUUAAAUCAAGGGAAGAUGCAAAUUUGGUAUCUAAUAGGAUAAGAACAAAGAAUCUUAGAAGAAAAUAUUAAACAUGAUCCAGACGAUAUAGAAGUAAAUCAUCCUCCCAAAUUGCUAUCUCA
This 4962-nucleotide long non-coding RNA is filed under the name Triticum aestivum (bread wheat). RNAcentral's name for it is "long non-coding RNA (TAES_LNC012276)". Lineage: Eukaryota; Viridiplantae; Streptophyta; Magnoliopsida; Poales; Poaceae. The record is from RNAcentral.